GAAAGCACUCAUGUUUGAGUCAGGAAACUUGGGUUCUGGACUUGGACUUUGGGCUUCUCUUUAUUUUUCUCUGAGCCAUUUAUUCUUGUCCAAAGUGAGGAGUUGGCCCAAAACACUUCUAUGUGCCGAUUUCCCUCUAAAAGCCUGUGAUUACUGAUUAUGACCACUGCAGGGACAGUUUUUCAAAACUGUGUCCAACGAUUACAUUUAUAUUGAUUCUGUGUCCGUUGGAGUCUCGUCCUGAGACACAGGUGAAGCAGGACGCAGGGCAGUGAUAAUGACCAGCAGACACACAGGGUCACUCGGGUUACCCAGAGCUCAGUGCAGAGGUCAGCUCCGUCCUCUCAUGUUGCCACUCAGGACCAUUUGUCAGUGACUGAUUGCUGUUUUCACAUCCCAGGAUUAUCACCUGCUCUCUUUUCUACCUAAAAUGUCUACACCAUCGCUCUUCUCCAACUUUUCCUUUCUGGUCCUAUCAGAGAAGGGAGCAGAAUUCCAUGGCAGAGACCAUGGGCUUAGAAAUUGAGCUUCACAAGUUUAAGUCCUGCUUAUAUCCCUUACUUGCUGUGAGCACCUCAUUUCCCUCUGUGAGCUUCCAGUUUCCACAUCUGUAGAAUGGCCACAGUGUCGGUACCUGCUUCAGAUAAUUGUGGUGGGUUGGGAAGAUGAUAAUUCACAGUGCCCAGAAGAUAGUAAAUAUAGUAAGUGAAUUAUUUUCUCCUCCUCCCUGUGUUCUCCCUGCUACCCCUUGUUAUCUUUCAUCUCUCAAAGUGGAGCUAAGGGAUCAUACACUUCAGAAAAAUAUCUCCUGCCCUUGUCCCUUCCCAGAGAAUCAUGUCUGUAAUUUUAUCUUGCCUUAGUGUAUUCUUCCCUAUGCUGUCGUCUCACCCCAUCUCUGCAAGAGACAUCUAGAGGCCAAUCAUUAUAGACACUUCAUUAAUGUGUCCCAAGCAAACGGCAUACAGCAGGUAUUCAAUAAAUUUCUGCUAGCCUUUACUGCCAAAGGGCAUGUUGAAAGGAAGAAUGCUGGAAGAGGUAAGGAAGACAGAGGAACAGAAGAAGGAAAAAUCCCAUAUGUCAUGCCAGCUCCUCAAAAAAGAUAUUAUUUUAGAAUGUAAAGGAAAAAUAGAGUUAAAGAAGAAACCAUUAAGUGGCCCAAAUUGCAUUACUAGUUCUCUACUCUGGGAUACACAGCCAUCGUUCAGUCUUUAGUAUAAGCAAUUCUUGAUUGACUAGAAGUGUUUAGCAAAAGAAGCAAAAUUUACCAUGUGUAUUUACAGUCUGAAUGGCUCGGCUCCUCUAGCUUUGCUUACAUCAAAGAAAGGGGGAAAAUGCACCCAGACAGUCUAAUUUCUUUAAGUCAGAUGAGUCACAGAAGCAAACAUUGGAAGAUGUGCUACAAAAUAAUCAAUCAUCAGAUAAAACUGUUUUGGAUGUAGCAGAUGUAUAAAAUAAAGUGGGACUAUUUUUUAAGCUAAAAGUUUGCAUAUUUACAGAAGAUUCUGGUAGAAUAGAGAAAUUUAGCCAGACCAUCACUUAAAAGGAGGUGUGGUUUCAAAGCAGAAAGGCAGCUGAAAAUAGCAGUCAGUUCUCUUCAUCCCUUAACUCCUACCCCUAUUCCUCAUCCUCAUGCCCAGCACCCAGUAAUGAUUUUUCAUGAUAAACACCUUUAAUUUUUAUUUUAUUAACAAUGUGGUUUCUAGAACACCUGAAUAUUGUAUUUGGCCAAUAUCUGCUUUAAAUAUCAUGUCAUAAAUAGAAAACAUCAGUAGCAGUAGGAUUAGCAGCAUGCUGAUCAGUUACUAGAAGGGAGGUGCCUCCCCACAGGUGACGGUCCGUAUCAUUACACCAAUUUUGCAAGUGGAGAAAUUCCUAUGCUAGAUGAGAAGCUGUAUGGCCACGUUCACACAUCUUAGACAUUAUGAAGUUUAGGUGUCCAGACGGAGCUUUCUCAUUUCAGUGUGCUCUGGCAUUUCCCAAAUGUAAACUGACAAGCAUCCAAUCUGAUGAAAUGAUGACAUCCCAUAAAAUAGAUGUUUAAUGUCUUAUAAUGUAUCUAUUUCCUGAAGCCAAUUGUAUGAAAAUCUAUCAAACUGCCUGUCUCCAAAUGUCCACAUGCUGGAGCAUCACCAUCUUCGCAUACACUCUUCUCCCUGCUUAAAACAAGCUUCCUCCUUCAUGUUCUGUCUAUUUCCAGUUUAUUUUUCAAAAAUGCCAUGCUCUUAGGUGAAAUACCUAAUGUAGAUGACAGGUUGAUGGGUGCAGCAAACCACCAUGGCACAUGUAUACCUAUGUAACAAACCUUCACGUUCUACACAUGUACCCCAGAAAUUAAAGUAUAAUAACAAAAAUAAAAAUUUUAAAAAAUCUAAUUUUACUUCUUUUGUACAUUAUUCAUAUAGUAACUUGUACUAAGGGAUUUAUUAAUGUAACUUCAUAUGUAUGUAUUUAGUCAUACAUGGAAAUAUAAAUACAGAUAGGCAACAGCUAAAAAAGAAAAAAACUCCAUGCUCACGUGUCCUAUCCUCCAGACAUAUUUUCCUAGCACUCCUUGUUUCUCCCUCCCCUCAUCACCAGUAGGGAAUUAGUAUCCUUGCUUUGUGUCCUGUGCACUCUGUGCCCAAUUCUGAGAGCGUACUUGACCCAUCUUCAUUUUUUUUUCUCAAAGACUCUUAUUUCUUUAAGGGUGGAAGCCAUAUUUUAUACGUCAUUAAAUCCGCAGAACCUAUCUGUGAUAGUUAAUAUUGAGUAUCAAGUUGAUUGAAUUGAAAGAAACAAAAUAUUGAUCCUGGGUGUGUCUGUGAGGGUGUUGCCAAAGAAGAUGAGCAUUUCAGUCAGUGGACUGGGAAAGGCAGACCCACCCUCAAUCUGGGUGGGCACAAUCUAAUCAGCUGCCAGUUCAGUCAGAAUAAAAGCAGGCAGAAGAAUGCGGAAAGCCUAAACUGGCUAAGUCUUCUGGCCUCCAUCUUUUCCCCAUGCUGGAUGCUUCUUGCCCUUGAACAUCAGACUCCAAGUUCUUUAGCUUUUCGACUCUUAGACUUAACACCGGUGAUUUGCCCAGGGCUCUUGGCCUUUGUCCACAAACUAAAGGCUGCACUAUCGGCUUCAUCCCUACUUUUGAGGUUUUGGGACUCGGACUUGCUUCCUGGCUCCUCAGUUUGCAGACGGCCUUUUGUGGGACUUCGUCUUGUGGUCAUGUGAGUCAAUACUCCUUAAUAAACUCUCUUUCAUAUAUACAUCACCCUAUUAGUCCUGUCGCUCUAGAGAACCCUAAUACAUUAUCACAUCCCUUAGCAAAUAGACUGUUAGUGCAUGUAAGAAUAAAAUAAGAAUAAUUGCUAACAUUUAUUUAGUGCCUACAUGGGAUAGGCAUCAUUCUAAGCAGUUUACAUGUAGACUUAUUUAAUUCUCAUAAUACACAUGUUGAAUAGAAACUAUUGGCCUGGAAUGGUGGCUCUCGCCUGUAAUACCAGCAGUUUGGGAGGCCGAGACAGGUGGAUCACCUGAGGUCAAGAAUUCAAGACCAGCCUGGCCAUGAUGGUGAAACCCCCAUCUCUACAAAAAUACAAAAAUUAGCCAGGCAUGAAGGUGGGUGCCUGUAAUCCCAGCUACUUGAGAGGCUGAGGUGGAAGAAUCAUUCGAACCCGGGAAGGGGAGGUUGCAGUGAGCCGAGAUCGCCCCACUGCACUCCAGCCUGGGUGAUAGAGAGAAACUCCAUCUGAAAAAAAAAAAAAAAGAAACUAUUGACAAGGAUCUUUUUUUUGCAGAGGAAAGAGAGAUAAAGAAAUACCUACAUAAACACAUAUACAUAUACAACUUAUAUGUAUAAACACAAAUAUACAUCAUGGAUCUAGAUACUUUAUUGAUUCAUAUACUUAAUAACUUUCAACACUAAUAAAUUGGACACUUACGUAGCUGCAUUGAUAAACACACAAUGCAGAUCAUAGGUGGCUCUAUGCUCUCUGUGCCCUGUCAUGGUCUAUGCGAGAGUUUUUAGUCCUGGUGUCAUAUUGACAUUCAAGACAUUUAAGGUCCUGGAAUGUGAGCCACAUGAUGAGAUAAUUUGAGGAUGGACAGUUUGCAGAAGAGAAUACCCUUUGUUCAAAUAUCUAAACAGCUGUCAUGAACAAGAGCGAUUAGAUUCAUUUUGCUUGACCCAGGAGGUGCAAAACUGAGACUAAUGGAUGGGAGCUUCAGGGAGGGAGAAUGUUGCUCAGCCCAAGGAAGGAUUUCUGGCAAGAAAGGUCUAUGCCGCUAGAUCUUGUGCUCCUGGGAAUAGAAAGCUUUGGCUCCCUUCCAGCAUGGAAACUCAGACUAUAUGUCCAUUUACUAGGUAGUAUCAUAUUUCACAGGAUACUUCUGCUUUGAGUAAGAGAGGGUAUUACAGGACCACCAUGAUCUCUUUUAUGUAUACAUUUUAGUGGAAAUUGUAACAAGUCUAGUUAAAAUGACAUAUGCCUUGGAAAAAAAGUUUAUUUCUACUAAUGUUAAAACUACUAUGACUAUCACUGCCAAUGCUACUAUAAUUACUAUUAAUGGUCAUAUGAUAAAUAAUGUUUGCAGGGCAGCUACUGUAUACUAGGUACAUAUUCCCUCUGCUAGUUUGCAUUUUGCAUAUACCAUGUCAUUUAACCUGCACAGCAAUUCUGAGUGGUUGGUGUCAUCGAUCUCUUUUUGCAGUUUCAGGGAACUGAGGCUCUAGGAGGUGAAGCCAUCUACUCAUGGUUAGCCAGAUAGUAACACUCAGAUCUAUGUGUGUCUGGCCACAAAAUCAGUUCUCUUUCUGUUUUACAGAGCCAUAGGAAGAGAGGGUAGGAAGAGAGGAGAGGAGAGGAGAGGAGAUGAGAGGAGAGGACAUAUAAUAGAUAAUCCUAGGCUUAAGUCAGAUUUAUUUUGGGAAAAUAUGAGACUCAGUUACUGAAAUAUUCUAAUUUUUUAUAUAUCAAGCUAUACAUUACUGAUUAUAUAGUUUGCAAUUAUUGAUGACAGAUUCACUAGUUUGAUUCUUUCUUUGUUGAUCUCAUUCUUCCUGAGGUUGUUUCAUCCUUCAUAGGAAGAGCUACUACUUCACAAUUGCAUGAGAAGAGAUCAAUUUAUAUGUAUGGCUCAUACACAUCUCAAAAGGAGAAAUCAAGAGGGACUUAGGUAUGCAAGUUUAAGUCCUGCUUAUAUCCCUUACUUGCUGUGAGCACCUCAUUUCCCUCUGUGAGCUUCCAGUUUCCACAUCUGUAGAAUGGCCACAGUGUCGGUACCUGCUUCAGAUAAUUGUGGUGGGUUGGGAAGAUGAUAAUUCACAGUGCCCAGAAGAUAGUAAAUAUAGUAAGUGAAUUAUUUUCUCCUCCUCCCUGUGUUCUCCCUGCUACCCCUUGUUAUCUUUCAUCUCUCAAAGUGGAGCUAAGGGAUCAUACACUUCAGAAAAAUAUCUCCUGCCCUUGUCCCUUCCCAGAGAAUCAUGUCUGUAAUUUUAUCUUGCCUUAGUGUAUUCUUCCCUAUGCUGUCGUCUCACCCCAUCUCUGCAAGAGACAUCUAGAGGCCAAUCAUUAUAGACACUUCAUUAAUGUGUCCCAAGCAAACGGCAUACAGCAGGUAUUCAAUAAAUUUCUGCUAGCCUUUACUGCCAAAGGGCAUGUUGAAAGGAAGAAUGCUGGAAGAGGUAAGGAAGACAGAGGAACAGAAGAAGGAAAAAUCCCAUAUGUCAUGCCAGCUCCUCAAAAAAGAUAUUAUUUUAGAAUGUAAAGGAAAAAUAGAGUUAAAGAAGAAACCAUUAAGUGGCCCAAAUUGCAUUACUAGUUCUCUACUCUGGGAUACACAGCCAUCGUUCAGUCUUUAGUAUAAGCAAUUCUUGAUUGACUAGAAGUGUUUAGCAAAAGAAGCAAAAUUUACCAUGUGUAUUUACAGUCUGAAUGGCUCGGCUCCUCUAGCUUUGCUUACAUCAAAGAAAGGGGGAAAAUGCACCCAGACAGUCUAAUUUCUUUAAGUCAGAUGAGUCACAGAAGCAAACAUUGGAAGAUGUGCUACAAAAUAAUCAAUCAUCAGAUAAAACUGUUUUGGAUGUAGCAGAUGUAUAAAAUAAAGUGGGACUAUUUUUUAAGCUAAAAGUUUGCAUAUUUACAGAAGAUUCUGGUAGAAUAGAGAAAUUUAGCCAGACCAUCACUUAAAAGGAGGUGUGGUUUCAAAGCAGAAAGGCAGCUGAAAAUAGCAGUCAGUUCUCUUCAUCCCUUAACUCCUACCCCUAUUCCUCAUCCUCAUGCCCAGCACCCAGUAAUGAUUUUUCAUGAUAAACACCUUUAAUUUUUAUUUUAUUAACAAUGUGGUUUCUAGAACACCUGAAUAUUGUAUUUGGCCAAUAUCUGCUUUAAAUAUCAUGUCAUAAAUAGAAAACAUCAGUAGCAGUAGGAUUAGCAGCAUGCUGAUCAGUUACUAGAAGGGAGGUGCCUCCCCACAGGUGACGGUCCGUAUCAUUACACCAAUUUUGCAAGUGGAGAAAUUCCUAUGCUAGAUGAGAAGCUGUAUGGCCACGUUCACACAUCUUAGACAUUAUGAAGUUUAGGUGUCCAGACGGAGCUUUCUCAUUUCAGUGUGCUCUGGCAUUUCCCAAAUGUAAACUGACAAGCAUCCAAUCUGAUGAAAUGAUGACAUCCCAUAAAAUAGAUGUUUAAUGUCUUAUAAUGUAUCUAUUUCCUGAAGCCAAUUGUAUGAAAAUCUAUCAAACUGCCUGUCUCCAAAUGUCCACAUGCUGGAGCAUCACCAUCUUCGCAUACACUCUUCUCCCUGCUUAAAACAAGCUUCCUCCUUCAUGUUCUGUCUAUUUCCAGUUUAUUUUUCAAAAAUGCCAUGCUCUUAGGUGAAAUACCUAAUGUAGAUGACAGGUUGAUGGGUGCAGCAAACCACCAUGGCACAUGUAUACCUAUGUAACAAACCUUCACGUUCUACACAUGUACCCCAGAAAUUAAAGUAUAAUAACAAAAAUAAAAAU
RNAcentral lists this long non-coding RNA (6976 nucleotides) under Homo sapiens (human). Its description in RNAcentral is "non-protein coding lnc-CDH5-4:4". Lineage: Eukaryota; Metazoa; Chordata; Mammalia; Primates; Hominidae. The record is from RNAcentral.